UGUCGUCAGCUCGUGUUGUGAAAUGUUGGGUUAAGUCCCGCAACGAGCGCAACCCUUAUCCUUUGUUGCCAGCGGUCCGGCCGGGAACUCAAAGGAGACUGCCAGUGAUAAACUGGAGGAAGGUGGGGAUGACGUCAAGUCAUCAUGGCCCUUACGACCAGGGCUACACACGUGCUACAAUGGCGCAUACAAAGAGAAGCGACCUCGCGAGAGCAAGCGGACCUCAUAAAGUGCGUCGUAGUCCGGAUUGGAGUCUGCAACUCGACUCCAUGAAGUCGGAAUCGCUAGUAAUCGUGGAUCAGAAUGCCACGGUGAAUACGUUCCCGGGCCUUGUACACACCGCCCGUCACACCAUGGGAGUGGGUUGCAAAAGAAGUAGGUAGCUUAACCUUCGGGAGGGCG
Molecule: ribosomal RNA, 402 nt
Filed under: Escherichia coli
Lineage: Bacteria; Pseudomonadati; Pseudomonadota; Gammaproteobacteria; Enterobacterales; Enterobacteriaceae
Description: bacterial SSU rRNA
Rfam family: Bacterial small subunit ribosomal RNA
Source: RNAcentral